UACGAAGGGGGCAAUCGUUACUCGGAAUUACUGGGCGUAAAGGGUGAGUAGGCGGCUGAGCAAGUCAAGGAUGAAAGCCCGAGGCUCAACUUCGGAAUUGUCCUUGAAACUGCUCAGCUUGAGGGUAGUUGAGGAGAGUGGAAUUCCCGGUGGAGCGUUGAAAUGCGUAGAUAUCGGGAGGAACACCUGAGGCGAAGGCGGCUCUCGAAGCUACUCUUGACGCUGAAUCACGAAAGCUAGGGGAUCAACCGGG
This 253-nucleotide ribosomal RNA is filed under the name uncultured bacterium. RNAcentral's name for it is "partial 16S ribosomal RNA". It matches the Rfam family "Bacterial small subunit ribosomal RNA", at positions 524 to 776 of the family's 1533-position model. The record is from RNAcentral.